Molecule: ribosomal RNA, 447 nt
Filed under: uncultured bacterium
Lineage: Bacteria
Description: partial 16S ribosomal RNA
Rfam family: Bacterial small subunit ribosomal RNA
Source: RNAcentral
CCCAGACUCCUACGGGAGGCAGCAGUGGGGGAUAUUGCACAAUGGGGGAAACCCUGAUGCAGCGACACCGCGUGGGUGAAGAAGCGCUUCGGCGUGUAAAGCCCUAUCAGUGGGGAAGAAAAAGGACGGUACCCAAAGAAGAAGCACCGGCUAAAUACGUGCCAGCAGCCGCGGUAAUACGUAUGGUGCAAGCGUUAUCCGGAAUGACUGGGUGUAAAGGGAGCGUAGGCGGGACUGCAAGUUGGGUGUCAAAUCUACCGGCUCAACCGGUAGCCGCACUCAAAACUGCAGUUCUUGAGUGAAGUAGAGGCAGGCGGAAUUCCUAGUGUAGCGGUGAAAUGCGUAGAUAUUAGGAGGAACACCAGUGGCGAAGGCGGUCUGCUGGACAGCAACUGACGCUGAGGCGCGAAAGCGUGGGGAGCAAACAGGAUUAGAUACCCCGGUAAA